This 83-nucleotide transfer RNA is filed under the name Sphaeropleales sp. YC001. RNAcentral describes it as "tRNA-Ser". Lineage: Eukaryota; Viridiplantae; Chlorophyta; Chlorophyceae; Sphaeropleales. The record is from RNAcentral.
CGGAAAGAGUAGGAAUCGAACCAACAAUCCCAAAAGGGAACCAACCUUCCAAAUUGGCGCAAUAACCAUUCUGCCAUCUUUCC